GAUGAACGCUGGCGGCGUGCCUAACACAUGCAAGUCGAGCGGAGAUACUUGAUAAGCUUGCUUAAUGAGUAUCUUAGCGGCGGAUGGGUGAGGAACGCGUGGAGAACCUGCCCUUCACAGGGGGAUAACAGCUGGAAACGGCUGUUAAUACCGCAUAUGCUCACAGCGCCGCAUGGCGCAGGGAGGAAAGCGCACAGUGGUGAAGGAUGGCUCCGCGUCGGAUUAGCCGGUUGGCGGGGUAACGGCCCACCAAAGCGAUGAUCCGUAGCCGGCCUGAGAGGGCGACCGGCCACAUUGGGACUGAGACACGGCCCAAACUCC
This 321-nucleotide ribosomal RNA is filed under the name uncultured Butyrivibrio sp. RNAcentral's name for it is "bacterial SSU rRNA". It matches the Rfam family "Bacterial small subunit ribosomal RNA", at positions 28 to 339 of the family's 1533-position model. Lineage: Bacteria; Bacillati; Bacillota; Clostridia; Lachnospirales; Lachnospiraceae. The record is from RNAcentral.